GAGUGAGUAUCACAGGAUUAUUUAGGUUGAAAAAGCCCUCUAAGGUCAUCGAGUCCAACCUGCCGAGCCCACGACUGAACCACAUCCCCAAAUGCCGCAGCUACACGUCUGUCAAAUCCCUCCAGGGGUGGGGACUCCAUCGCAAAAGUUUAGACGUGUUAUGGACUCUAUAAUAGAGACCUAUUUAUCGUCCGAUUCCUCACAGGCUCCGCAUCCCGUGGGAUGUCCAGCACCGAUUGCAGGAGUUCCUGUGGCUGGUCGAGGCAGGAGCCGGGGUGGCCGUGACACCUCCGGGCACCCCUCCCGAGCAGUGCCACUGUCCCCGCAGAGCCCGCGCACCAGCUCCCCGUUCCUCAAUCUCUGCUGCCCUCGCAUGGCACAUCAGGGAAAGAAAAUGAGCCUGUUCUGGGCAAAUCCAAAGGCAGGACUUGAACAGGACAUCUGCCACAGCGAUCAUCACUGCGGGCUCCAGGCAGUUUGGCAAGUGCUGAUGGUCGUUACCCUUUCUGCAGUAACCACACUGAAACAUUGAUCGUCGCUGCACUUGGGCACAUCCAAAGGCGUGUUCAGUAAUAAAUCUGAGCUUCUCCAAGAAAGAUCUUGAAAUACAGACUUAACAAACCAACCCAUCGAUCUGCACGUGUGCAGGCAGGGAGUCCUUGUCUGCUCUUUGAUUAUCUUCAUGGUCCGAGCUCAGGCAGAAACAGCAAGAGGUAGACGAAGACAGAAGAAGCAGGGACAGACUUUUAUUGUUGCAAGUGCUUGAUGAAAAUGUGGAAUCAGAGUACAAAGAGGAAGAAACCUCCGCUUGACACUGCUCAUCUCAGCAGUGCAUCACUCAUUAUUCUGCACAGGAUUAAAGGCUUUGCUGGGGCCAGAUUCUUCAACUCAGAUGGAGAACUAAUUUCCCCACAUCUCUCCUCAGCAUACCUAUACAGGAUUUUUUGCUACAGAAAGAGAACUGAAGAUGUCACCUGAUGAUUAUCUGUGACUGUGAGGUCCAUUGUCCUUACAGGAAGUUCUGUUGUCUGCCUGGGGUUUUGAGGUUUGAAAGUUGGAUGGCAGAGUUGCUGAUUCUGAUGAUAACUCAGAUCUUCUGUUGUGAUUGUGAGGCUGCCUGAGUACUCUUAUUUGUGGUGUAGUGGAUGUGCUCAGUAACAGUGGGUGUUUCUGAGAGUUACUAUUUUAUUGGUUUGGUUUUGAGGAUUGCUUGCUCCAUCUUUAUGGCUGGGAAUUUGUUAUGGGAUUCAAUGUUAUGAUCUCCACUGCAGCUGUGAUUUUCUCCCACAUAUGUACUUUCUCUGACUAUAUAAUGACUCUUCAGCUUUAACAGAAUUUUAUCAGGUAAGUCCAAGGUUGCACAAGGAACGUUGGGAAUUGGUAGGUUUUAGUGGUCCUUUCAGAACACCACUGAGGCACAACCAUAUGUAUGUCUAGACCAAAGUCCCAAAUCCUUUGCAGCAGUGUUUAACUUUGGCAGCAAAGCUCUGAGCGUGACAAAGAUGAUCAGCUGUGUGCCUGGGUGGCUUUGUGGGUUGUUCAAGGGUGGUUCCUGUGCCGAAGCUCUGCCAUAUGACUGGUGAGGAGACUGUUGGUACCUGGCCAAGUGAAGCAGAACCAGGAGGGGCUGCUGAGGCUGUUGUUUGCUGGAACUUGGAUUCUCUGUCAAUGGACCCAAAUGACUUCUGGAUCUGAGAGCUGGGAUUAAGACAUUACUGUUAUCUCCUGCUUGUAUAAUGCCCAGGAUCACCUGCACCUUUAGCUUUCUGUGGUGUGUGGUGUGUACAGA
Long non-coding RNA from Myiozetetes cayanensis, 1789 nucleotides. RefSeq lists it as uncharacterized. NCBI's taxonomy places the organism in Eukaryota, Metazoa, Chordata, Aves, Passeriformes, Tyrannidae. The transcript is spliced from 4 exons. The record is from RefSeq and is a predicted model, not a curated record.